This 254-nucleotide ribosomal RNA is filed under the name uncultured bacterium. RNAcentral describes it as "partial 16S ribosomal RNA". It matches the Rfam family "Bacterial small subunit ribosomal RNA", at positions 524 to 776 of the family's 1533-position model. The record is from RNAcentral.
UACGUAGGGACCAAGCGUUGUUCGGAUUUACUGGGCGUAAAGGGCGCGUAGGCGGCAAUUCAAGUCAGUUGUGAAAUCUCCGAGCUUAACUCGGAACGGUCAACUGAUACUGUUUUGCUAGAGUACAGAAGGGGCAAUCGGAAUUCUUGGUGUAGCGGUGAAAUGCGCAGAUAAUCAGGAGGAACACCGGUGGCGAAGGCGGUUCUCUGGGCAUUACCUGACGCUGAGGAGCGAAAGUGUGGGGAGCGAACAGG